UACGUAGGGGGCUAGCGUUGUCCGGAAUCAUUGGGCGUAAAGAGCGUGUAGGCGGCCCGGUAAGUCCGCUGUGAAAGUCGGGGGCUCAACCCUCGAAUGCCGGUGGAUACUGGCAGGCUUGAAUCCGGGAGAGGGAUGUGGAAUUCCAGGUGUAGCGGUGAAAUGCGUAGAUAUCUGGAGGAACACCGGUGGCGAAGGCGGCAUCCUGGACCGGUAUUGACGCUGAGGCGCGAAAGCCAGGGGAGCAAACGGG
Molecule: ribosomal RNA, 253 nt
Filed under: uncultured bacterium
Lineage: Bacteria
Description: partial 16S ribosomal RNA
Rfam family: Bacterial small subunit ribosomal RNA
Source: RNAcentral